AACGAACGCUGGCGGCAGGCCUAACACAUGCAAGUCGAGCGAGGACUUCGGUUCUAGCGGCGGACGGGUGAGUAACGCGUGGGAAUGUGCCCUUCUCUACGGAAUAGCCCUGGGAAACUGGGAGUAAUACCGUAUACGCCCUAUUGGGGAAAGAUUUAUCGGAGAAGGAUCAGCCCGCGUUGGAUUAGGUAGUUGGUGGGGUAAUGGCCUACCAAGCCGACGAUCCAUAGCUGGUUUGAGAGGAUGAUCAGCCACACUGGGACUGAGACACGGCCCAGACUCCUACGGGAGGCGGCAGUGGGGAAUCUUAGACAAUGGGGGCAACCCUGAUCGAGCCAUGCCGCGUGAGUGAUGAAGGCCUUAGGGUUGUAAAGCUCUUUCAGCUGGGAAGAUAAUGACGGUACCAGCAGAAGAAGCCCCGGCUAACUCCGUG
RNAcentral lists this ribosomal RNA (433 nucleotides) under uncultured bacterium. RNAcentral describes it as "partial 16S ribosomal RNA". It matches the Rfam family "Bacterial small subunit ribosomal RNA", at positions 29 to 507 of the family's 1533-position model. The record is from RNAcentral.